UGCGUGCGUGACUUGGGCCGAAGCCCGUGUACCCCUUCGCCCCUCACUUACCCCUUCGCCCCUUGGGCUAUAAAUAGACCUCCUCCACCUCCUUUCUAGGGUUAGCAAAGUGAUAGCUCAUUCUUAGGUGAGCUUUGUGAAGGAAAUAUGCCCUAGAGGCAAUAAUAAAGUUAUUAUUUAUUUCCUCAUAUCAUGAUAAAUGUUUAUUAUUCAUGCUAGAAUUGUAUUAUCCGGAAACAUGAUACAUGUGUGAAUACAUAGACAAAACUAUAGUCACUAGUAUGCCUCUACUUGACUAGCUCAUUAAUCAAAGAUGGUUAUGUUUCCUGACCAUAGACAUGUGUUGUCAUUUGAUUAGUGGGAUCACAUCAUUAGGAGAAUGAUGUGAUUGACAUGACCCAUUCUGUUAGCCUAGCACUUGAUCGUUUAGUAUACUGCUAUUGCUUUCUUCAUGACUUAUACAAAAUUCCUGCAACUAUGAGAUUGUGCAACUCCCGUUUACCGGAAGAACACUUUGUGUGCUACCAAACGUCACAACGUAACUGGGUGAUUAUAAAGGUGCUCUACAGGUGUUUCCGAAGGUACAUGUUGGGUUGGCAUAAUUCGAGAUUAGGAUUUGUCACUCCGAUUGUCGGAGAGGUAUCUCUGGGCCCUCUCGGUAAUACUCAUCACCUAAGCCUUGCAAGCAUGUGACUAAUGAGUUAGUUAUGAGAUGACGUAUUACGGAACGAGUAAAGAGACUUGCCGGUAACGAGAUUGAACUAGGUAUUGGAUACCGACGAUCGAAUCUCGGACAAGUAACAUACCGAUGACAAAGGGAACAACGUAUGUUGUUGUGCGGUUUGACCGAUAAAGAUCUUCGUAGAAUAUGUAGGAACCAAUAUGGGCAUCCAGGUCCCGCUAUUGGUUAUUGACCGGAGACGUGUUUCGGUCAUGUCUACAUUGUUCUCGAACCGUAGGGUCCGCACGCUUAAGGUUUCGAUGACAAUUAUAUUAUGAGUUUAUGUAUUUUGAUGUACCGAAGGUUGUUCGGAGUCCCGGAUAUGAUCACGGACAUGACGAGGAGUCUCGAAAUGGUCGAGACAUAAAGAUUGAUAUAUUGGACGGAUAUAUUUGGACACCGGAAAGGUUGCGGGAGAGUUUGGGAAUAUACCGGAGCUCCAGGAGGUUACCGGAACCCCCCGGUAAGUAUAUGGGACUUAUUGGGCCCUAGUGGAAGGGAGGGAGAAGGAGCAAGAGAGGGGGCGCCCCCCCAACCCAAUCCGAAUUGGGAGGGGGGCCGGCCCCCCCUUUCCUUCUCUCCUCCCCCCUCUUCCUUCCUUCUCCUACUCCGAAUAGGAAAGGGGGGGCCAAACCUACUUGGAGUAGGUUUGCCCCCCUAUGGCGCGCCUCCCCCUUGGGCCGGCCACCUCCUCCCUCCCUCCUUUAUAUACGGGGGUAGGGGGGCACCCUAGACACACAAGUUGAUCAUUGAUAUCGUUCCUUAGCCGUGUGCGGUGCCCCCCUCCACGAUAUUACACCUCGGUCAUAUUGUAGCGGUGCUUAGGCGAAGCCCUGCGACAGGAGAACAUCAAGAUCGUCACCAUGCCGUUGUGCUGACGGAACUCCCCCCGCGCCUCUGCUGGAUCGGAGAUCGGGGGUGCGUCAUCGAGCUGUACGCGUGUCAAGAACUCGGAGGUGCCGGAGUAACGGUGCUUGGAUCGGUUGGACCGGGAGGACGUACGACUACUUCCUCUACGUUGCGUCAACGCUUCCGCUUCGGUCUACGAGGGUACGUAGACAACACUCUCCCCUCUCGUUGCUAUACAUCACCAUGAUCUUGCGUGUGCGUAGGAAAUUUUUUGAAAUUACUACGUUCCCCAACAGUGGCAUCCGAGCCAGGUUUUAUGCGUUGAUGUUAUAUGCACGAGUAGAACACAAGUGAGUUGUGGACGAUAUAAGUCAUACUGCCUACCAGCAGGUCAUACUUUGGUUCAGCGGUAUUGUGAGAUGAAGCGGCCCGGACCGACAUUACGCGUACGCUUAUGCGAGACUGGUUUCACCGUUACGAGCACUCGUGCUUAAAGGUGGCUGGCGGGUGUCUGUCUCUCUCACUUUAGUUGAACCGAGUAUGGCUACGCCCGGUCCUUGUGAAAGUUAAAACGGAGUCUAUUUGACAAACUAUCGUUGUGGUUUUGAUGCGUAGGUAAGAACGGUUCUUGCUAAGCCCGUAGCAGCCACGUAAAAUUUGCAACAACAAAGUAGAGGACGUCUAACUUGUUUUUGUAGGGCAUGUUGUGAUGUGAUAUGGUCAAGACGUGAUGCUAUAUUUUAUUGUAUGAGAUGAUCAUGUUUUGUAACCGAAGUUAUCGGCAACUGGCUGGAGCCAUAUGGUUGUCGCUUUAUUGUAUGAAAUGCAAACGCCCUGUAAUUGCUUUACUUUAUCACUAAGCGGUAGCGAUAGUCGUAGAAGCAAUAGAUGGCGUAAACGACAACGAUGCUACGAUGGAGAUCAAGGUGUCACGCCGGUGACGAUGGUGGUCAUGACGGUGCUUCGAAGAUGGAGAUCACAAGCACAAGAUGAUGAUGGCCAUAUCAUAUCACUUAUAUUGAUUGCAUGUGAUGUUUAUCCUUUAUGCAUCUUAUCUUGCUUUGAUUGACGGUAGCAUUUUAAGAUGAUCUCUCACUAAAAUUAUCAAGAAGUGUUCUCCCUGAGUAUGCACCGUUGCCAAAGUUCGUCGUGCCGAGACACCACGUGAUGAUCGGGUGUGAUAAGCUCUACGUCCAUCUACAACGGGUGCAAGCCAGUUUUGCACACGCAGAAUACUCAGGUUAAACUUGACGAGCCUAGCAUAUGUAGAUAUGGCCUCGGAACAUGGAGACCGAAAGGUCGAGCGUGAAUCAUAUAGUAGAUAUGAUCAACAUAAUGAUGUUCACCAUUGAAAACUACUCCAUCUCACGUGAUGAUCGGUUAUGGUUUAGUUGAUUUGGAUCACGUGAUCACUUAGAUGACUAGAGAGAUGUCUGUCUAAGUGGGAGUUCUUAAGUAAUAUGAUUAAUUGAACUUAAAUUUAUCAUGAACUUAGUACCUGAUAGAAUCUUGCUUGUCUAUGUUUGUUUGUAGAUAGAUGGCUCGUGCUGUUGUUCCGUUGAAUUUUAAUGCGUUCCUUGAGAAAGCAAAGUUGAAAGAUGAUGGUAGCAAUUACACGGACUGGGUCCGUAACCUGAGGAUUACCCUCAUUGCUGCACAGAAGAGUUACGUCCUGGAAGCACCGCUGGGUGCCAGGCCUGCUGCUGAUGCAACUGACGACGUUAAGAACGUCUGGCAGAGCAAAGCUGAUGACUACUCUAUAGUUCAGUGUGCCAUGCUUUACGGUUUAGAACCGGGUCUUCAACGAUGUUUUGAACGUCAUGGAGCAUAUGAGAUGUUCCAGGAGUUGAAGUUAAUAUUUCAAGCAAAUGCCCGGAUUGAGAGAUAUGAAGUCUCCAAUAAGUUCUAUAGCUGCAAGAUGGAGGAGAAUAGUUCUGUUAGUGAACAUAUACUCAGAAUGUCCGGGUAUAACAAUCACUUGAUUCAACUGGGAGUUAAUCUUCCUGAUGAUAGUGUCAUUGACAGAAUUCUUCAAUCACUGCCACCAAGCUAUAAGAGCUUCGUGAUGAACUAUAAUAUGCAAGGGAUGAACAAGACUAUUCCCGAGCUCUUCGCAAUGCUGAAAGCCACGGAGGUAGAAAUCAAGAAGGAGCAUCAAGUGUUGAUGGUCAACAAGACCACUAGUUUCAAGAAGAAGGGCAAAGGGAAGAAGAAGGGGAACUUCAAAAAGAAUGGCAAGAAAGUUGCUGCUCAAGAGAAGAAACCCAAGUCUGGACCUAAGCCUGAAACUGAGUGCUUCUACUGCAAGCAGACUGGUCACUGGAAGCGGAAUUGCCCCAAGUAUUUGGCGGAUAAGAAGGAUGGCAAAGUGAACAAAGGUAUAUGUGAUAUACAUGUUAUUGAUGUGUACCUAACUAGAGCUCGUAGUAGCACCUGGGUAUUUGAUACUGGUUCUGUUGCUAAUAUUUGCAACUCGAAACAGGGACUACGGAAUAAGCGAGCACUGGCCAAGGACGAGGUGACGAUGCGCGUGGGAAACGGUUCCAAAGUCGAUGUGAUCGCGGUCGUUACGCUACCUCUACAUCUACCAUCGGGAUUAGUAUUAGACCUGAAUAAUUGUUAUUUGGUGCCUGCGUUGAGCAUGAACAUUAUAUCUGGAUCUUGUUUGAUGCGAGACGGUUAUUCAUUUAAAUCAGAGAAUAAUGGUUGUUCUAUUUAUAUGAAUAAUAUCUUUUAUAGUCAUGCACCCUUGAAGAGUGGUCUAUUUUUAUUGAAUCUCGAUAGUAGUGAUACACAUAUUCAUAAUGUUGAAGCCAAAAGAUGCAUAGUUGAUAAUGAUAGUGCAACUUAUUUGUGGCACUGCCGUUUAGGUCAUAUCGGUGUAAAACGCAAGAAGAAACUCCAUACUGAUGGACUUCUGGAAUCACUUGAUUAUGAAUCACUUGGUACUUGUGAACCGUGCCUCAUGGGCAAGAUGACCAAAACACCGUUCUCCGGAUCUAUGGAGAGAGCAACAGAUUUGUUGGAAAUCAUACAUACAGAUGUAUGUGGCCCGAUGAAUGUUGAGGCUCGUGGCGGAUAUCGUUAUUUUCUCACCUUCACAGAUGAUUUGAGCAGAUAUGGGUAUAUCUACUUAAUGAAACACAAGUCUGAAACAUUUGAAAAGUUCAAAGAAUUUCAGAGUGAAGUAGAAAAUCAUCGUAACAAGAAAAUAAAAUUUCUACGAUCUGAUCGUGGAGGAGAAUAUUUGAGUUACGAGUUUGGCUUACAUUUGAAACAAUGCGGAAUAGUUUCGCAACUCACGCCACCUGGAACACCACAACGAAAUGGUGUGUCCGAACGUCGUAUCGUACUUUACUUGAUAUGGUACGAUCUAUGAUGUCUCUUACCGAUUUACCGCUAUCAUUUUGGGGUUAUGCUUUAGAGACGGCCGCAUUCACGUUAAAUAGGGCACCAUCAAAAUCCGUUGAGACGACGCCUUAUGAACUGUGGUUUGGCAAGAAACCAAAGUUGUCGUUUCUUAAAUUUUGGGGCUGCGAUGCUUAUGUGAAGAAACUUCAACCAGAUAAGCUCGAACCCAAAUCGGAGAAAUGUGUCUUCAUAGGAUACCCAAAAGAGACUGUUGGGUACACCUUCUAUCACAGAUCCAAAGGCAAGACAUUCGUUGCUAAGAAUGGAUCCUUUCUAGAGAAGGAAUUUCUCUCGAAAGAAGUGAGUGGGAGGAAAGUAGAACUUGAUGAGAUAACUGUAUCUACUCCCUUGUUGGAAGGUAGUUCAUCACGAGAACCGGUUCCCGUGACAACUACACCAACUAGUGAGGAAGCUAAUGAUAUUGAUCAUGAAACUUCAGAUCAAGUUUCUGCUGAACCUCGUAGGUCUACCAGAAUAAGAUCCGCACCAGAGUGGUACGGCAAUCCUAUUCUGGAAGUCAUGUUACUUGACCAUGAUGAACCUAUGAACUAUGAGGAAGCGAUGAUGAGCCCAGAUUCCGCAAAAUGGCUAGAGGCCAUGGAAUCUGAGAUGGGAUCCAUGUAUGAAAACAAAGUAUGGACUUUGGUUGACUUGCCCAAUGAUCGGCAAGACAUUGAGAAUAAAUGGAUCUUUAAGAAGAAGACUGACGCUGAUGGUAAUGUUACUGUCUACAAAGCUCGACUUGUUGCGAAAGGUUUUCGACAAGUUCAAGGGGUUGACUACGAUGAGACUUUCUCACCCGUAGCGAUGCUUAAGUCUGUCCGAAUCAUGUUGGCUAUUGCUGCAUUUCAUGAUUAUGAAAUUUGGCAAAUGGAUGUCAAGACUGCAUUCUUGAAUGGAUUUCUAGAAGAAGAGUUGUAUAUGAUGCAGCCGGAAGGUUUUGUUGAUCCAAAAGGUGCUGACAAAGUAUGCAAGCUCCAGCGUUCCAUUUAUGGACUGGUGCAAGCAUCUCGGAGUUGGAAUAAACGCUUUGACAGUGUGAUCAAAGCAUAUGGUUUUAUACAGACUUUUGGAGAAGCCUGUAUUUACAAGAAAGUGAGUGGGAGCUCUGUAGCAUUUCUAGUUUUAUAUGUUGAUGACAUAUUGUUAAUUGGAAAUGAUAUAGAAUUUCUGGAUAGCAUAAAGGGAUACUUGAAUAAAAGUUUUUCAAUGAAAGACCUCGGUGAAGCUGCUUACAUAUUGGGCAUCAAGAUCUAUAGAGAUAGAUCAAGACGCUUAAUAGGACUUUCACAAAGCACAUACCUUGACAAGAUUUUGAAAAAGUUCAAAAUGGAUCAGGCUAAGAAAGGAUUCUUGCCUGUGCUACAAGGUGUGAAGUUGAGUCAAACUCAAUGCCCGACCACAGCAGAAGAUAGAGAGAAAAUGAAAAAUGUUCCCUAUGCUUCAGCCAUAGGCUCUAUCAUGUAUGCAAUGCUGUGUACCAGACCUGAUGUAUGCUUAGCAAUAAGCUUGACAGGAAGGUACCAAAGUAAUCCAGGAGUGGAUCACUGGACAGCGGUCAAGAACAUCCUGAAAUACCUGAAAAGGACUAAGGAUAUGUUUCUCGUAUAUGGAGGUGACAAAGAGCUAGUCGUAAAUGGUUACGUCGAUGCAAGCUUUGACACUGAUCCGGACGAUUCUAAAUCGCAAACCGGAUACGUGUUUAUAUUAAACGGUGGAGCUGUAAGUUGGUGCAGUUCUAAACAAAGCGUCGUGGCGGGAUCUACAUGUGAAGUGGAGUACAUAGCUGCUUCUGAAGCAGCAAAUGAAGGAGUCUGGAUGAAGGAGUUCAUUUCCGAUCUAGGUGUCAUACCUAGUGCAUCGGGACCAAUGAAGAUCUUCUGUGACAAUACUGGUGCAAUUGCUUUGGCAAAGGAAUCCAGAUUUCACAAGAGGACCAAGCACAUCAAGAGACGCUUCAAUUCCAUUCGGGACCAAGUCCAAGUGGGAGACAUAGAGAUUUGCAAGAUACAUACGGAUUUGAAUGUUGCAGACCCGUUGACUAAGCCUCUCUCACGAGCAAAACAUGAUCAGCACCAAGACUCCAUGGGUGUUAGAAUCAUUACAAUGUAAUCUAGAUUAUUGACUCUAGUGCAAGUGGGAGACUGAAGGAAAUAUGCCCUAGAGGCAAUAAUAAAGUUAUUAUUUAUUUCCUCAUAUCAUGAUAAAUGUUUAUUAUUCAUGCUAGAAUUGUAUUAUCCGGAAACAUGAUACAUGUGUGAAUACAUAGACAAAACUAUAGUCACUAGUAUGCCUCUACUUGACUAGCUCAUUAAUCAAAGAUGGUUAUGUUUCCUGACCAUAGACAUGUGUUGUCAUUUGAUUAGUGGGAUCACAUCAUUAGGAGAAUGAUGUGAUUGACAUGACCCAUUCUGUUAGCCUAGCACUUGAUCGUUUAGUAUACUGCUAUUGCUUUCUUCAUGACUUAUACAAAAUUCCUGCAACUAUGAGAUUGUGCAACUCCCGUUUACCGGAAGAACACUUUGUGUGCUACCAAACAUCACAACGUAACUGGGUGAUUAUAAAGGUGCUCUACAGGUGUUUCCGAAGGUACAUGUUGGGUUGGCAUAAUUCGAGAUUAGGAUUUGUCACUCCGAUUGUCGGAGAGGUAUCUCUGGGCCCUCUCGGUAAUACUCAUCACCUAAGCCUUGCAAGCAUGUGACUAAUGAGUUAGUUAUGAGAUGACGUAUUACGAAACGAGUAAAGAGACUUGCCGGUAACGAGAUUGAACUAGGUAUUGGAUACCGACGAUCGAAUCUCGGACAAGUAACAUACCGAUGACAAAGGGAACAACGUAUGUUGUUGUGCGGUUUGACCGAUAAAGAUCUUCAUAGAAUAUGUAGGAACCAAUAUGGGCAUCCAGGUCCCGCUAUUGGUUAUUGACCGGAGACGUGUUUCGGUCAUGUCUACAUUGUUCUCGAACCGUAGGGUCCGCACGCUUAAGGUUUCGAUGACAAUUAUAUUAUGAGUUUAUGUAUUUUGAUGUACCGAAGGUUGUUCGGAGUCCCGGAUAUGAUCACAGACAUGACGAGGAGUCUCGAAAUGGUCGAGACAUAAAGAUUGAUAUAUUGGACGGAUAUAUUUGGACACCGGAAAGGUUCCGGGAGAGUUUGGGAAUAUACCGGAGCUCCGGGAGGUUACCGGAACUCCCCGGUAAGUAUAUGGGCCUUAUUGGGCCCUAGUGGAAGGGAGGGAGAAGGAGCAAGGGAGGGGGCACGCCCCCCAAGCCCAAUCCGAAUUGGGAAGGGGGCCGGCCCCCCUUUCCUUCUCUCCUCCCCCCUCUUCCUUCCUUCUCCUACUCCGAAUAGGAAAGGGGGGGCCAAACCUACUUGGAGUAGGUUUGCCCCCCUAUGGCGCGCCUCCCCCUUGGGCCGGCCACCUCCUCCCUUCCUCCUUUAUAUACGGGGGUAGGGGGGCACCCUAGACACAUAAGUUGAUCAUUGAGAUCGUUCCUUAGCCGUGUGCGGUGCCCCCCUCCACGAUAUUACACCUCGGUCAUAUUGUAGCGGUGCUUAGGCGAAGCCCUGCGACAGGAGAACAUCAAGAUCGUCACCACGCCGUCGUGCUGACGGAACUCCCCCCCACGCCUCUGCUGGAUCAGAGAUCGGGGGUGCGUCAUCGAGCUGUACGCGUGUCAAGAACUCGGAGGUGCCGGAGUAACGGUGCUUGGAUCGGUUGGACCGGGAGGACGUACGACUACUUCCUCUACGUUGCAUCAACGCUUCCGCUUCGGUCUACGAGGGUACGUAGACAACACUCUCCCCUCUCGUUGCUAUACAUCACCAUGAUCUUGCGUGUGCGUAGGAUUUUUUUUUGAAAUUACUACGUUCCCCAACACUUUGCUCCUACCUAUCUCUACUCUUGAGAGAGAGAGAGAGACCACUACUCCAUUGGAGGCCAAGACCUCCAUCUAGGAGAAGAUCCCGCGGGAUAUCAUCAAGACCCCCUUGUGGGAAGAUCCAUUUAGGAUAUCAUCAAGACCACCUCUUGGAGAUGAACCUUACCUUGUAUCUUUCCCUUUGUUGUUCAUGUACCUUGUGAUCUUGUGUGUUUGAUUGUCUAGUGGAUGUGUGAUUUGGACUUGUUCUUGAGUGUUUCCCAUUGUGAUUUCUCCCCGUUCUUCCCCGUGUUCAUCGUGUUCUUCGAGGGAUCCCACUCCAAACGUGAAAGAUCGCCGCUAUAGGGUUCCACCCUACAUCAUAUGGUAUCAUGAGCCACGUUGAUCACGCUUUUGGAGUCCCUCCCACCGUUUUCUAGCCUUCUUUUGCUUGAUUUCGUCCUAAAUCCGAAAAUCCCCACCAAAAAUAGCCCCAAUUUUUUUUGUGAUUUGUUGGUUUGAUGAUGUUUUGUUGAUUUUGAUCUGUGGAUUUGCUUGGUUUCAAGUGGAUCUAGCAUUUCCCCAAGUUUCCACACCUUCCAUCCACGAAAUCUCGUCAAUUUUGACCCCAAAAUCCCCAAAUUCCGCCCAAAAAUUCGUCUCCACGAGCAAAUCCCGAGCAGUUUGACUUGCCCGGAUCAUCCGGACCUUCUCCCAGAUCAGCUGGACGCCCCCCCGGACGUCCGGAUAACCCACACACCCAGAAAACAGAACCGGCGCUGACGAACCUGGAUCAUCCGGAUUUCCUCCCGGAUCAUCCGGAUCUAGCCCGGAUCAUCCGGACCUCCUCCCGGAUGUCCGGUUAACCCUGAAACUGACACUGACAGAUUUUUGUUUUGGCCAUAACUAAUUCAUCCGGAGUCCGAUUUUGACGUUAUUUAGCUCGUUUUGAAGCUCUGGACAUCCCCCAUCCCACAAAAAUACCACCAACAUCAUUUGACUCCAUCAUAUUUUCUGAAAUUUGGCAAGUUUGCCUAGGCCUUCCACCAUACUAUCCGCAUAGCCACCACCGACUUCCGCAACCUAACCCAUUUUGUUCCCCAUUGCAUAUGUGGUUGUUUGAGUAGUGACUUGAGUCUCCUAAGGUGUUUCGGCUACUUAGGGACGGUUGCUUCUUCAUCAACCACCACCACCACCACUUCCACAUAACCUUCCCACCAUACACUUCCGACACCCAAACUUAACCCAAUUGUUGUUUGAGCUUGUUUGAGUUCAGGCUUGUGUCUCCUAAGGUGUUUCGGCUACUUAGGGACGACAAAUUCAACUCCGACUCGUGUAUAGCCCAUCAUUCCACUUCCGCAUUGCCUAGUGCAACACCACCACCGCUUUCCGCUACCACCAUUUGACAUUUGUCAUUUGAGAUUUUGAGUUUGCGGUUUUUCCGUUUCCUAAGGUGUUUCGGCUACUUAGGGACGAGUCUCCAUCAUCUUGGUAUCUACACCAAGAACACCGCCACUCAUCACCGCAAAGGACGGUAACCUCGACGACACCUUUGUAUAUUCACCUUGCAAUUGCAUUGUUAACCCCUAGCCCAUUUUGCGUCACUUACCUAUCGAGACUAGCCAUUUGAGUAUUCCCGGCAACGUUACUUGUGCACAUUAGUGAUCCACCAUUCCAUUGCAUACAUACCAUAUCAUAUUGGUAUCAUAUCAUACAUUGUGUCACAAUAUCGUUCCCGCAUAUACACAAUAGCUAUCUUGGUUUGUGCAUUGUGCAUAAGUGGCCAUUGAAAAAAAAAGCUUUUAAGCAAAAAGAGAGCAAAGAGCUCGUGAGCAAGUGCCAUAGCAUCAUACCCCAUUGCACAUAAGAGCCAUACCAAAAUCUACAACAUAUGAUAUCAUGAUUGAGAGAAACACCGGGAACCAUACAUACAUAGCAUACUUGGGAUAGAAGAAUAUCCAUUUUGCAUCUUAUAGGUUGUGCACAAGUGUCGUAUCCGCCUUUUGAGCAAUCGUGCUAGCGUCUCUCUUGAGUUGUGCAACACGAGCGUUUUCCGUGGAUUCCACAUUUUGUGCUCAUUCCUUGGUUGCAUAACCCCAUUUAUCUAUCCGUGUGUGUGUUUCCGUGUACCUUUCAUUGCUAUUGGUCUACUUGUUUCACUUGCGAAUUUGUGAAUCUCUUUCAACAUUAUUGACUCUUGCUAACAUUUUGCAUUAAAUUUUUGUGCCACUAUCCUCACCAAGCUCUACCAUAAGCUUUUACUUGAUAGGUGUGAGUGAACAAGUCCGGUACCAAUUCCACUAUUCUUUCAUCUCACAUUGAGUGACAUGAGAUACAUCCUCAACUUUGGGAAAAGGUAACUUGGUAUUGUUUAUCUCAUUUCCUACUCACCUCUACUCGAGUCUUGUGAUGGAUAGGCAAGGCAUUUCACUUUCGGUCUACAACAACAACGACGAGUUCGAUGCCAUGAACAACAACUACUACGCCAAGAUGGACAAGCGCAUGGAGGAGAUAAAGGCCCUCAUCAAGUCCUACAAGCGAUCUUCCUCAUCUUCGAGAAGACGCUCAAGAGCACAUCCUUCCGAGCUACCACCUCCGGCAAGAUCACAUCGGCAUCGACACCAUCACCAACAAGAACGUGAAGGUCAAGAGCUCAACACCAACAACCGCUCAACGACUUCACCAUCUCCCUUGGCAUCUUCGCCAAGCGACUUCAAGGCAUCUUCGCCUACGGACAUAUGGCAUCUUCGCCAACAAGAACCUCAAGACUACACUCAAGAGAAGCUACCCAAGCUCAAGUCCGCGACUUCCACGAGCUACUACGACCUCGACACCGACCACAAGAUUCCUUUCUAUGGGACUCAAGAACCUGAGGAGUACCUCGAGUGGGAGCGUUUGAUGGACGACUACCUCAAGCUACAUCAAGUUCGUCCCGAAGAUCAAGUGAAGUGCGCCACAAGAAACUUCCACGACUACGCCUCGACAUGGUGGCUUCACACACCUUCGAAGUACUACGACAUGAGUUGGCCCAAGACAAAGAGAGCUUUACGGCGAGAGUUUGUGCCUCCAACCUACACGGAACAACUUCGACGCCAAUUGGAGAACACCACCCAAGGAUCCAAGUCCAUCGACAAGUACUUCAAGGAGAUCAUGAUUGCCUUGCGACGAGCCGGCGUGGACGACCCCAUGUCAAUGAAGUUCCACUUCAUGAUGGGAUUGCACAACGACAUCUCCAAGACCAUCUUCAUCGAGAACUACAAGUCCAUCGACGACUACUACAUUGGUGCUCUCAAGGCGGAACAAGAACUCAUGAAGGCCAAGGCUUCUACACCCCAAGCACACUUCGCGGCGACCAAGCUCUACGACAAGCAUGAGGCUAGUACCACCACGAUGUCCAAGGCCGACAAGCUCCAAGACAAUGCUCCCAAGUGCGACUUCACCGCCAUCCCUCUUUGUGAUAUUGAUGAUGCCGAGUCUACUUCGACUCUUUUUCAAGACGGUGCGGCGAUGAGUUCGACUACGGAGACCUUCAAGGACCAAGCUUUGGAGGCGAGUGACAAGGUGGCGAGCAAGGAUGAUGCUUCCAUCUUAGGAGGCGAGAGUGAUGAUGUGCCAUCUUCGGCCUUCAUCCACGGCGACCACGACGAGAUGGUUGAGCAUGGGACAUUCCCUUCGACCACGGCGACGUAUGAUGACUUGAGUGACUUUUGCCACCAUAUUGAGAGUGAGAGUGACUUCACCACUAGCCCCAUAUAUAAUGAGUUGCCCCACCUUCCAUGUGAGGAGAGCCACAACCACCACCACUUGAGUGAGAUGAGUGACUCCACCAUAUGUGACUUUGAGUGCACCUACUUUGAGGGAGUGAGUGAACCACCACAUAGAGAGAGUGAGAUAGUUGAUAGGUCUCGUGAGGCCAUUUGCAUUUCUAACAACUUGAUCUCUACCUCUAUUGUGUCUUCUCAUUUGGUGCUAGGCCCCAUUUAUGAUGACGCGCCGAUCCUCGAUGACUUCAUCCUCCCUUUGAACAAGAGGAUGGCCAUGGUGGAUUAUGAUGCACCGCCCACAUGCUUCCAUCAAGAUGAUGAUGAUGACCAUCAUUUGGUCUUUCCCACCUCACCUAAACCAGUUGAGUGGAAUGACAAAGGUAACAUAGGUGAAGGUGAUGCUCUAGUACCACUAGUGGACAUUCUUGACAUUGAUUGCUUGCAUGAUGUUGAUCCACCUAUUGCCAUGCUUCAUGCUAGUAUGAGUUCCCCAUGCGAUGAUUUGCCCAUUUAUGAUGAGUAUGAUGAUUCUAUUGUGGAGUCUAUUAGUUGUGAUGCCAUGUUACAUAGGAUUUCUUGUGACAAUUCUUUAGGUCACAUCAUGUUUGAUAAUCCGCUUGACUUGUCAUAUGCUAUGCAUGAGAUCAACCAUAUGUCUUAUUUGCAAUCUCUUCAUAGUGACUAUGCAUAUGCCAUUAAAAUAAACCCAAUUUGCACAUAUGGCAUAGAUGACAAGCCCAUGGUUAUUGGCAUUUGUUUCUCUUGUGAUGAUAUUGAUAUGCUCCCUUUGCAUCAUUUAUCUCAUAUGCCAUGCCAUGACCACCUAGCUUCGGAUAUGCAUUGUUUUGGAUGUUGUCCAUUUUCUCCAUAUGAUGUUUCCGAUAUUGCUCAUGAGGAGACCCCCAUAGUUUCCUCAUACAUUUUAGGAGAUUUUGACCCAUCCCAUCCAUUGCAUGAUCCCAAUACUUGUGUGCACCAUAUGCUCCCCAUGAAUAAACAUGCUUUUGAUGCGCCAUAUACUUGUUUGCUCAAUUUGUGUCCCCAUCGUGUCAUACAUAACAACUAUUCUUUCAUGAUGGAUGACAUGUUCAUAUACCAUGCCUCAAAUUUCUUUGAGCAUUGCUUAUCUUGUGCUAACUCACACGUGCACAUAUACAUCAUGAUGGAUGAUGUGUACAUUUACCACACACACAAUUUCUUUCGUUUGUGUCUCUUUUGUGUAGGUACCCAUGAAUACUUGUCAACCUCGCAAUCCCACGAGUUGACAAAACGAGCUCUUGAGAGCAAUGACGAUUUGGGAUCCCGUGGACUAUCCUUACAACCGUUCCCUUCACGCAAGGACUACGCGCAACUCCUCUACUUGGCUCUCACACGGCUAUGGGCCAUUUACCACUUGUCACCUUAUGCUCAUUUUACCGUGUUCACUUUGCAUGCUAUGCUUGCUUCUAUGCCUUUGCCAUGCAAUUGUGACCCUUGCUUGCAUCUACCCAUGUUUCAUCAUUAUGCUACUUCUAUGUGUAUUUGCAUGCUUGGUAGAGAUCCUUGUUGCUAUUGCCAUGUUUAUCAUGUGCCCCAUGCUAUUGUCCUCAUAUCUUGCUUUCAUGAUUGUGCUAUGACAUGUGAAUUAUUCAUGCCCACUAUUUGCACCAAGGACAUGUUUGCCAUGAUUCCUUCUAGUAUGUCGCAUCUUCGCACUACUAUCAUACUUGACUUGAUUGCUAUGAUUGCUUUCUAUGUUGCAUCACCCAUGUUCCACUACUUGCUUUCUUGGGUUGAUGACAUAUAUGCUCAUGCCUCUCACAUGCGUUGUCUCUUGUGUCAUACUUGCUCAUCUCAUGCGGUUGAUGACAACCAUCUAUAUGCUUUGCAUAUGAUUCAUAUUGCUUCGUGUCAUAUAUCUCCAUGUGUUGCAUCUCUCAUGCUAGAUGAUUUGCCAUGUAUUGAGUGCAACAAUGCUUAUAGUCUUGCUCAUGAGAUUGCCCCCAUAGCAUUCUCACACAUGUUUGGAGAUUUUGACAUAUUCCUUGUGAAGCAUGCUUGUCUUACCUCUUUGCACCAUAUACCUAGUGCCUUGAAUAUCACCAUUGUUGCAUCAUAUUAUUCAUGCACUUGUGCUUCUAAUGGUUAUGUGCAAGAGAAGAGAACCAUCAUGAUGGAUGAUGUGUUUAUCUACCAUGCGCAUACGCUCUUUGUUUUGUUUUGUGCAUGUGUAGGAUACUUGGACUUUGUGUCGACUUCCACUUCACGUGAGUUGACCAUUCGAGCUCUUGAGAGCGAGCCUCAUACAUUCUACCACGACUCGUUUCUACACCGUAUUUGCUUCCACUUCGGCAUUGUGAAGAAUGCACAAGGGCACACUUUCAAGGUGACAUCCUUCUUGAGAUUGGAUAUUGUGGAUCAUACUUCAUGUGUUGCUUGCACCAUUUGCACACAUGUUCGAGAUAUUGCUUUCUACCAUGAUUGCCACAUUUCCAUGCUUCAUGACAUAUAUACCUUGUGUGUUGCAUCCAAUUCUUGGACUACUUGCUACUAUCAUAUGGUUGGUUGCACCAAUAUCAUUUCUUCACAUAUGCCAUGUCCCUUUGCUUGUCACAUGCUUGACUUGAUUGCCUCACACAUGUUGAACAAUUGCUCUUUUUAUUGUGUUGAGUGCCACACUAUAUUCACUACACCCUAUGCACGUUAUGCUUGGAUUGUCUUGCACUUGCCCCAUGUGUUUAGACAUUUCACUAUAUUUGGUGUCGUGAAUGACUCUUAUGCCUACCAUAGACCGUUCAUUGAGCUCCUUAUGCAUGCUUGCUAUGACCUUGAGGUAGAUGCUUGUUCACUUAUCACAUAUAUUUGCAUCUUGACCUCCCAUUUGCAUGCUUGUUCCCAUGAUAUACUUGAUUGUGCUCAAUUUAUAUGCUCAAAUGCCAUGCCACACUUCUUUGUCAAACCAUAUGCUAUGCUUGAUGACAACAUUUGUUGGGUGAAUCACCUCUUGAAUGCUUGGUUUUGCUCUUACGACAACCACAUUUGUUUUUCCAAGUGCUUGUUAUCUUUGCUACUUUUGAAGGAAUUACAAGACGGUGCGACAUUGGAGAGUGCCCAUUUGGAACUACAAGAUGACGAAUGCUUGGUGAUCGUCCACUUCAACACGACGACAUCAUCUCUUUCCCAUGGUGAUUUGGAUUUCGAUCCGAGGUCGGAUCUUUCCCAAGGGGGAGGGGAUGAUGCGGAGCAUCCUACGGACAUCACCACGUCAAGAGCCCAUUUGGCAAGUGACACGUGCGACAUCUACUUCACAUACACAAAGGUGAAUCAUCUCCUUUACACGUGCUCACUUGACACUCUCGAGGAUGGUAUACUACUUGGCACUCCUUACGUGUGCAUGCAUAGGUAUUGUCAGAGCUUCACGGAUGUCAAGGAGGAGUGCAAGAGCCAAGGAACGACUACACCAUCCGCGAGGGAAGUGUGGAAGAGAAGACGGAAGAAAGGAAGAAGAAGAAUGGAGCAGGACUGGAGUUGCCCGGACCAUCCGGACCCCCAGCAGGACGAUCCGGACCGAGCCCGGAUGAUCCGGACGACCUCCCGGACGAUCCGGCUACCGUGCCCGAAGACAACAGAACCUGCUCGACGAAGCCGGAUCAUCCGGACGGUCGCCCGGAUCAUCCGGACCCCCGACACCCGGAUCAUCCGGGCCACCAUCCGGAUCAUCCGGACCCCGCCUGCGUGCGUGACUUGGGCCGAAGCCCGUGUACCCCUUCGCCCCUCACUUACCCCUUCGCCCCUUGGGCUAUAAAUAGACCUCCUCCACCUCCUUUCUAGGGUUAGCAAAGUGAUAGCUCAUUCUUAGGUGAGCUUUGCUCCUACCUAUCUCUACUCUUGAGAGAGAGAGACCACUACUCCAUUGGAGGCCAAGACCUCCAUCUAGGAGAAGAUCCCGCGUGAUAUCAUCAAGACCCCCUUGUGGGAAGAUCCAUCUAGGAUAUCAUCAAGACCUUCUCUUGGAGAUGAACCUUAC
RNAcentral lists this long non-coding RNA (16607 nucleotides) under Triticum aestivum (bread wheat). Its description in RNAcentral is "long non-coding RNA (TAES_LNC027183)". The record is from RNAcentral. Lineage: Eukaryota; Viridiplantae; Streptophyta; Magnoliopsida; Poales; Poaceae.